UACGUAGGGGGCAAGCGUUGUCCGGAUUUAUUGGGCGUAAAGAGCGUGUAGGCGGCCAUUCAGGUCAGCUGUGAAAACUCGAGGCUCAACCUCGAGACGUCGGUUGAAACCGUUUGGCUAGAGUCCGGAAGAGGAGAGUGGAAUUCCCGGUGUAGUGGUGAAAUGCGCAGAUAUCGGGAAGAACACCCGUGGCGAAGGCGGCUCUCUGGGACGGUACUGACGCUGAGACGCGAAAGCGUGGGGAGCGAACAGG
This 253-nucleotide ribosomal RNA is filed under the name uncultured bacterium. RNAcentral describes it as "partial 16S ribosomal RNA". It matches the Rfam family "Bacterial small subunit ribosomal RNA", at positions 524 to 776 of the family's 1533-position model. The record is from RNAcentral.